Molecule: ribosomal RNA, 468 nt
Filed under: uncultured bacterium
Lineage: Bacteria
Description: partial 16S ribosomal RNA
Rfam family: Bacterial small subunit ribosomal RNA
Source: RNAcentral
GACGAACGCUGGCGGCGUGCUUAACACAUGCAAGUCGAACGGAAAGGCCCUGCUUUUGUGGGGUGCUCGAGUGGCGAACGGGUGAGUAACACGUGAGUAACCUGCCCUUGACUUUGGGAUAACUUCAGGAAACUGGGGCUAAUACCGGAUAGGAGCUCCUGCUGCAUGGUGGGGGUUGGAAAGUUUCGGCGGUUGGGGAUGGACUCGCGGCUUAUCAGCUUGUUGGUGGGGUAGUGGCUUACCAAGGCUUUGACGGGUAGCCGGCCUGAGAGGGUGACCGGCCACAUUGGGACUGAGGUACGGACCAGACUCCUACGGGAGGCAGCAGUGGGGAAUAUUGCACAAUGGGCGGAAGCCUGAUGCAGCAACGCCGCGUGCGGGAUGACGGCCUUCGGGUUAUAAACCGCUUUCGCCUGUGACGAAGCGUGAGUGACGGUAAUGGGUAAAGAAGCACCGGCUAACUACGUG